This 506-nucleotide ribosomal RNA is filed under the name uncultured bacterium. RNAcentral's name for it is "bacterial SSU rRNA". It matches the Rfam family "Bacterial small subunit ribosomal RNA", at positions 28 to 524 of the family's 1533-position model. The record is from RNAcentral.
GACGAACGCUGGCGGCGUGCCUAACACAUGCAAGUGGAGCGACGAACCGGGCUUCGGCCCGGGGCCAAGCCGCGAACGGGUGAGUAACACGUGGGUAACCUGCCCUGAUGAUUGGGACAACCCGAGGAAACUCGGGCUAAUACCGAAUGUGCCCUCCGACCAUAAGGUCUGCGGGGAAAGGAAGCUUCGGCCUCCGCAUCGGGAUGGGCCCGCGGCGCAUUAGCUUGUUGGUGAGGUAACGGCUCACCAAGGCGACGAUGCGUAGCUGGUCUGAGAGGACGAUCAGCCACACUGGGACUGAGACACGGCCCAGACUCCUACGGGAGGCAGCAGUGGGGAAUCUUGCGCAAUGCGCGAAAGCGUGACGCAGCAACGCCGCGUGGGGGAAGACGGUCUUCGGGUUGUAACCCUUCAGUUGGGACGAAGCUUUGCCGGUGAAUAGCCGGUUGGAGUGACGGUACCUUCAGAAGAAGCCCGGCUAACUACGUGCCAGCAGCCGCUGUAAU